This 459-nucleotide ribosomal RNA is filed under the name Parvimonas micra. Its description in RNAcentral is "bacterial SSU rRNA". It matches the Rfam family "Bacterial small subunit ribosomal RNA", at positions 28 to 487 of the family's 1533-position model. Lineage: Bacteria; Bacillati; Bacillota; Tissierellia; Tissierellales; Peptoniphilaceae. The record is from RNAcentral.
GACGAACGCUGGCGGCGUGCUUAACACAUGCAAGUCGAACGUGAUUUUUGUGGAAAUUCUUUCGGGAAUGGAAAUGAAAUGAAAGUGGCGAACGGGUGAGUAACACGUGAGCAACCUACCUUACACAGAGGGAUAGCCGUUGGAAACGACGAUUAAUACCGCAUGAGACCACAGAAUCGCAUGAUAUAGGGGUCAAAGAUUUAUCGGUGUAAGAAGGGCUCGCGUCUGAUUAGCUAGUUGGAAGGGUAAAGGCCUACCAAGGCGACGAUCAGUAGCCGGUCUGAGAGGAUGAACGGCCACAUUGGAACUGAGACACGGUCCAAACUCCUACGGGAGGCAGCAGUGGGGAAUAUUGCACAAUGGGGGGAACCCUGAUGCAGCGACGCCGCGUGAGCGAAGAAGGUUUUCGAAUCGUAAAGCUCUGUCCUAUGAGAAGAUAAUGACUGUUAUCAUAGGAGG